RNAcentral lists this ribosomal RNA (214 nucleotides) under uncultured bacterium. RNAcentral describes it as "partial 16S ribosomal RNA". It matches the Rfam family "Bacterial small subunit ribosomal RNA", at positions 119 to 334 of the family's 1533-position model. The record is from RNAcentral.
AUCCAACCUGCCCUUUACUCGGGGAUAGCCUUUCGAAAGAAAGAUUAAUACCCGAUAGCAUAAUGAUUCCGCAUGGUUUCAUUAUUAAAGGAUUCCGGUAAAGGAUGGGGAUGCGUUCCAUUAGGUUGUUGGUGAGGUAACGGCUCACCAAGCCUUCGAUGGAUAGGGGUUCUGAGAGGAAGGUCCCCCACAUUGGAACUGAGACACGGUCCAA